This 75-nucleotide transfer RNA is filed under the name Desulfocapsaceae bacterium. RNAcentral describes it as "tRNA-Gln". It matches the Rfam family "tRNA". From Rfam's summary of the family: Transfer RNA (tRNA) molecules are approximately 80 nucleotides in length. Their secondary structure includes four short double-helical elements and three loops (D, anti-codon, and T loops). Further hydrogen bonds mediate the characteristic L-shaped molecular structure. tRNAs have two regions of fundamental functional importance: the anti-codon, which is responsible for specific mRNA codon recognition, and the 3' end, to which the tRNAs corresponding amino acid is attached (by aminoacyl-tRNA synthetases). tRNAs cope with the degeneracy of the genetic code in two manners: having more than one tRNA (with a specific anti-codon) for a particular amino acid; and 'wobble' base-pairing, i.e. permitting non-standard base-pairing at the 3rd anti-codon position. The record is from RNAcentral. Lineage: Bacteria; Pseudomonadati; Thermodesulfobacteriota; Desulfobulbia; Desulfobulbales; Desulfocapsaceae.
UGGGGCGUAGCCAAGCGGUAAGGCACCGGGUUUUGAUCCCGGCAUUCGCAGGUUCGAAUCCUUCCGCCCCAGCCA